Molecule: ribosomal RNA, 497 nt
Filed under: uncultured bacterium
Lineage: Bacteria
Description: partial 16S ribosomal RNA
Rfam family: Bacterial small subunit ribosomal RNA
Source: RNAcentral
GAUGAACGCUGGCGGCGUGCCUAAUACAUGCAAGUCGAGCGAACGGACGAGAAGCUUGCUUCUCUGAUGUUAGCGGCGGACGGGUGAGUAACACGUGGAUACCCUACCUAUAAGACUGGGAUAACUUCGGGACACCGUAGCUAAUACCGGAUAAUAUUUUGAACCGCAUGGUUCAAAAGUGAAAGACGGUCUUGCUGUCACUUAUAGAUGGAUCCGCGCUGCAUUAGCUAGUUGGUAAGGUAACGGCUUACCACGGCAACGAUGCAUAGCCGACCUGAGAGGGGGAUCGGCCACACGGGAACGGAGACACGGUCCAGACUCCUACGGGAGGCAGCAGUAGGGAAUCGGCCGCAAUGGGCGAAAGCCUGACGGAGCAACGCCGCGUGAGUGAUGAAGGUCUUCGGAUCGGAAAACUCUGUUAUUAGGGAAGAACAUAUGUGUAAGUAACUGUGCACAGCUUGACGGUACCUAAUCAGAAAGCCACGGCUAACUACGUG